GUCCACGCUGUAAACGAUGGGCACUAGGUGUGGGGGGUGGUCGACUCCCUCCGUGCCGAAGCUAACGCAUUAAGUGCCCCGCCUGGGGAGUACGGCCGCAAGGCUAAAACUCAAAGGAAUUGACGGGGACCCGCACAAGCAGCGGAGCAUGUGGUUUAAUUCGACGCAACGCGAAGAACCUUACCUGGGCUUGACAUGUGCCUGACCGCCCUGGAAACAGGGCUUCCCUUCGGGGCAGGUUCACAGGUGGUGCAUGGCUGUCGU
This 264-nucleotide ribosomal RNA is filed under the name uncultured bacterium. Its description in RNAcentral is "partial 16S ribosomal RNA". It matches the Rfam family "Bacterial small subunit ribosomal RNA", at positions 793 to 1055 of the family's 1533-position model. The record is from RNAcentral.